This is a long non-coding RNA of Aegilops tauschii subsp. strangulata, 1540 nucleotides long. RefSeq lists it as uncharacterized. The record is from RefSeq and is a predicted model, not a curated record. Lineage: Eukaryota; Viridiplantae; Streptophyta; Magnoliopsida; Poales; Poaceae.
AAAAAAGUCCCAGGCGAUCAGACUUGGACCAAAUCGUGGUGGUCUGCCCGCUCGGAACCAAUUUGUGGCGGGGAAAAGGGGAGAUUGGCGCCGAGCGUUGCCGCCGCAGAGGACAGGCAGGGCCGCGCCGCCGCCGCCCCAGUGAAGCGCUCCGCCUCGCCGCGGCAGUAAUCAGCGCCGCCGAGCCCCCGCGGGAACCAGCUCCGCCGAGUCGCCGGGGAACCAGAAGAGCGCCGUCGUGCGCCGGGUAGCAGCGACUUGCCGCCGCGGUCCACGGAGGAGCGCCACCCUGACCACCACGUCCGGUUUCCCAGAAUUGAAUGUUGUGCAAUGGCAGAAAUUGGAAAGAGGACACCCAAAGUUGGUAUGAGGUUCAGAGAUUCGGAAGAGGCUUGGAGUUUUGGGUAGAUUAUGGGGGUCACAUCGGCUUUGAUGUGAGGAAAAGAUCCACAAUCAAAAGCAGAUGUGAUGGUGUGAUUACUUCACGCUGGUUUGUUUGUUCCAAUGAAGGCCAUCGAAGGAAAAACCAAACAGAUCAUGAGCCAAAGCGUAUUAGAGCAGAAACAAGAACCAAUUGUAAGGCUCAUGUGAUUGUUACAUAUGAUCGAGUUGCCAACAAUUUUGAAGUCACCGAAGUUGAUUUGGAGCACAAUCACCGCCUUCAAUUGCCACAAACCUGCCACUUGUUAGCAUCACAAAGGAAGAUUUCAGAAGUGCAAGCUUUCGAGAUAGAAACAGCCGAUGAUUCUGGAAUUAUGCCAAAAGCUUCACAUGAGUAUGCUUGUCGUCUAGUUGGUGGCCCUAACAACCUUGGUCACACUUACCGUGACCGAAAGAACCAUUUGCGAAGCAAGCGGCAGCGGGAGUUGGCUUAUGGACAGGCUGGAAGUAUGUUGAAUUAUUUUCGUGACAAGCAGGCUGAGAAUGCAGCAUUCGUGACAAGCGGCAGCGGGAGUUGGCCCUAACAACCUGGUCACACUUAACUAAUUUCAGUGAUUUUUGUUCUCAGCCACAAAGAAGGAUGGUGUGCAACAAAAGAAAAAAGAUGGUGUGCAGCCUCAAGUAGAAGUGGAGAAGUAUGACAACAACAAAGAAGUAAAUUUGGUGCUUCAAGAGUGCAAUAAUAUUAUGAGUUUCACCCAGCUCUUGACGGCUGACCAUGAUAAUCUGUUCUAGCAUGGAAGCUCCUUAGAUAAUAUUUUGUACAUGGUGGUGAUCAUGAUGAUUAUCUGUUCUAGCAUGGAACUCGUGAGAUAGUAUUUUGGACAUGGUUAACUAUAGUAGUAUGGGGUUAACUAUAUUAUUUUGUAGCCUAAGUGACAAGCAAGUGGUACUGAAUUUGAAUGUAUUGAGCUUUUGAAUUACAAGCAAGUGGUACUGAAUUUCAAUCAAGUGGUACUUAGUUUGUAUUGUUAAAUUACUGCUGUUUUUGUUGCUAUAUGACCGUUGUUUGCAUACAGUUUUUUUGUUUUUUUGUAUAGCUAAGUUUGAAAUUUAAUACUGAAUUUCAAUCAAGUGGUACUGAAUUUGUAUUGUUAAA